This is a long non-coding RNA of Oreochromis niloticus (Nile tilapia), 1555 nucleotides long. RefSeq lists it as uncharacterized. NCBI's taxonomy places the organism in Eukaryota, Metazoa, Chordata, Actinopteri, Cichliformes, Cichlidae. The transcript has 2 exons. The record is from RefSeq and is a predicted model, not a curated record.
CCUUCUGUGCAUUUAAGUCCUCUGUCGCUUUCUGUUCAGUGUCGGGUCGUCUGCUUAUCUCCUGUCACUCACAAAGAGCCGAGAGCUGAACGACUCACAGGCUGCUGAACUGUCUGAAGUCACAUUCAAGGCUUCCACAAACGCUGUGCCGAGGGUUUUCCUCACACUAACGUCUGAGUCAGCAGGGGGCGCUGUCUCAUCAUUCAGCCAGGAGGUGCAGCAGUCUACAGCCACAUGUUGGCCUUUCCAACAGUGAUUGUGAAGCCUCCGGACAAACACCGGACAUCAGCAGGUUUCUCCCCACCUGCUCCUUAAACAUCACACUCAGUCUCUUCCACAGUUUCAUGUCUUGCCUAUAAGUGUCCCCUCCACCCCAGCUCACGGUAAUGUGACCACAUGUGCACAGCAGAGCUGCUGCAGACAUACUUGGACCUGUUUUCUCCACGAACUGAUACCACUGACCUUAGUCUUCGGGGACACAAUGUCUGCACCUCGUCCUGAUGCCCAGGUCCAGAUGUGGGAGGAGAUCCCUCAGGACAGCUGCUGAGUUGCUGCAGGGAAAUUUCAGCUCAAUGGACUCACUUUGAUUUUGAUCUUUGGGGUGUCAUUGAAUUCGGCCUCUGCAGGUUGAUCAUUUUCAUGUCUAUCAAACGAUGUGGCAUCGUUUCCUCCCCAUCACGUUACCCUGCUUCGUUUCUCCCAGUGAGAUCUGAUGUUUGAUGGGUUUAUUUUAUACAGGACUACUUUUUAAUGGCUUUAUUUCACCUAUACUGUUUCCUUUCUGUGACAAAUGAUGUCAUUAAAUAUGAUAAUUAAUAAUCAUAGAAAUAAUAUUAUUAAUCUGGUGCAGUAUGGCUGAGGUUUAGCCUCAUGGCUUUUGCAGAUGGUUCACUACAUUCCAGAACCUUCCGUCAUCCUGCCACAACAAUGGGUCAAAUUCUUUAAAGCACAGAAGAAUUUAUAGAAGUAAAUUAAUAAAACAUUUUUAUGAUCAAACAUAUCCCAGAAUCCAACAGUGACAGUUUGACCACCCGGACCACGCCCAGCAUGUGUGCGUGUAUACCGAGGGGUUCGUCGUGCUGCUCCAACAGGAGUCCAGGAGGCGCAGCGUAGCAACAACGAGCGUGGAGACAAAGCUGGCACUCAAAAAAAGAUUUUUAUUAACAACAAACCAAAACCGCCGUCUUCUCCACUCACAAGUAAAACACACAGUUCCACAGUGGGCCGGGAACCACAGCCGGCACCUGUGAGGUCAUUACACUUCAACCCAAUGACAAACGGGCCAGCGGGGGGCGCCGUUUCACAGCUGCUCUAUCAGCAGAUCUUUUGUGGUUUCAUACCAUCAGUCAUGUUCUUUUUGCUGCGAGGUCACAACUUUAACAAUCGAUACCUGCAGGGCGGAGGUCAUGUGACUCAUGUUUAUCAAAAUGAAGAGUGGGUUCCACAUGAUGACUCAUCGCGGUCAAACAGGAAGGUUACCGGGCGAGACACUUUUCUCCCAGCAUGCUUUGAUGAUGACGGCAUGAACCGAACAUGUGGCGAUCACAUGAUUAAA